This 467-nucleotide ribosomal RNA is filed under the name uncultured bacterium. Its description in RNAcentral is "partial 16S ribosomal RNA". It matches the Rfam family "Bacterial small subunit ribosomal RNA", at positions 29 to 507 of the family's 1533-position model. The record is from RNAcentral.
ACGCACGCUGGCGGCGUGCUUAACACAUGCAAGUCGCACGGAAAGGCCCUGCUUUUGUGGGGUGCUCGAGUGGCGAACGGGUGAGUAACACGUGAGUAACCUGCCCUUGACUUUGGGAUAACUUCAGGAAACUGGGGCUAAUACCGGAUAGGAGCUCCUGCUGCAUGGUGGGGGUUGGAAAGUUUCGGCGGUUGGGGAUGGACUCGCGGCUUAUCAGCUUGUUGGUGGGGUAGUGGCUUACCAAGGCUUUGACGGGUAGCCGGCCUGAGAGGGUGACCGGCCACAAUGGGACUGAGAGACGGCACAGACUCCUACGGGAGCCAGCAGUGGGGAAUAUUGCACAAUGGGCGGAAGCCUGAUGCAGCAACGCCGCGUGCGGGAUGACGGCCUUCGGGUUGUAAACCGCUUUCGCCUGUGACGAAGCGUGAGUGACGGUAAUGGGUAAAGAAGCACCGGCUAACUACGUG